UACGUAGGGUGCGAGCGUUGUCCGGAAUUACUGGGCGUAAAGAGCUCGUAGGUGGUUUGUCGCGUUGUUCGUGAAAUCUCACGGCUUAACUGUGAGCGUGCGGGCGAUACGGGCAGACUAGAGUACUGCAGGGGAGACUGGAAUUCCUGGUGUAGCGGUGGAAUGCGCAGAUAUCAGGAGGAACACCGGUGGCGAAGGCGGCGACCUGGGCCAAUAUUGACGCUGAGGUGCGAAAGCGUGGGGAGCAAACAGG
This 253-nucleotide ribosomal RNA is filed under the name uncultured bacterium. Its description in RNAcentral is "partial 16S ribosomal RNA". It matches the Rfam family "Bacterial small subunit ribosomal RNA", at positions 524 to 776 of the family's 1533-position model. The record is from RNAcentral.